GUACAAUGUUCCUGUUCCCUUUCCAUCUAACCUCUUCUGAUAUAUUAGUCCUCCACGUAGAGAAGAAGAAAUAAUUCCCUGCUUGUUACACAUAGCCAGGAAAAAGAAAACUCAGGAAAAUGUCCCCUGAAAAGGAUUUAAUCCUUUUCUGUUGAUGGUUUAUGAUGCCAAAUAAUCCCACCUCUCUUCUAGUAAAUUCCAGUUUAAGGGUCAAUCAGUUACAGCUGUGCUAAUCCACAGUUACUAACUUCUUUGCCUGCUGAUGUCUCCAUGGUGAAACCACAGAUGAAACCUGGGUGACCUCCAUGCCUUUCCCUACCGUGUUUAGAAAACAACAGAUAAGGUAACGCAGUAAGGUCAAGUGCAACUGUGGUCUGAGACUCCAGUAUGGGAAAUUGAAAGUAGUCAAAAACCAGCCUGGACUAGGACCACAGACAGGUACUGUGGCAGUUCUCUGGGCUACAGGACUCUGCAGAAUAAACCUGGCUGCCGUAAGUGCCAAACUCACUGGAAGAGCACCAUACUGGAAAAGAGAUGAAGUGGCAGCUCUGCAACACCCACUCCCUCCUCUGCUCUGGGAAAGCCUGGUUGUACACCUCUCUCACAAGGCAGAACAAGAGAAUUUGCCCCUCUGUUGGUAGGGGCUUGCAGGUUUUUAAAAAAAAAGUAUUAAGGGGAAAUUUUCUCUAUUGCACUGCAAGCAGUAUCUCCUCUGUCUCCUGCAGAAAUGUGCACAGAAUUCUAAUACAAAUGUAAAGGUAAUUAAAGAUGUUUGAUGCGGAUGUGAGACGGAAGGGAAGGAUUGCUGGAACAUCAGUUCCUGCUGCUACAAUUUUUUGUCUUUCAGGUCAGGUCCUGCACUGUCGAAGACAGGUACUGCUCAAGUUCCUGUUCUCUCCUGCAACUAGCAAGACCUUCAGAGGGAACCUCCUUCAGCUUUCCUGAAAAGGUUUUUGCUUCCUGGCUAUGUGCAGGAAUUAGAGUUAUGUCACCUCUUGUACCUGACAGACUGAUGUAUAGGAAGAAACCAAAUGCAAGGGAAACAGGGGCUUCAUAAACCUGCCAUGCAUGUGCACUUUCAUUUGUAAAGUCUUAAAAUCUUCACACAUUCAGCUGACCAACUAUUUGCAUAUAAAGCACUGAGAAGCAAGGGAUCAUGGCAGGACUGCUAUGGAGCAGCCUCCAGGGACACAGCAAGAUUGACCUAAUUACACAUGGUUAUUACUCACACUAAAUCCCUGUGAACUCUGGAACAACCUUCACAAGAUGGCACAGACCUGACAAUUAAAUCCUUUCAUUUUCUUGUUCGUCUGGAGAUGAAAUUGCUUUAUAGCACAAUGCAAACUGAUUUGCUGUUAGCAAAACAGAACCAAUAUUCAAAAAAGUGCAAAACCAGUUGAAUAUUGUACCUAACCCCAUAAAGAGGCUAAAGGCUGGACAUGGAGAAAGUCUCUAUCUAAUCAAGCUGUUGGCUGACCAGGACAGAACAAAUUCAUAAGUCAUUAAGUACACUCGUACUGUCUGAACAGGAUGGGGACUUUUGUUAUAAUUUUGCCAUCAUGACCAUUCUGUUGGUCAGGUUACUUGACCUGCCUUCAGUGCUUAUCUAUUAAGGAUAUGUGACUGUGGAAAAGGGGUUAAAAAAAGUAACAGUUUCCUGUAGCAGGGUUAUUCUAGUUGCAUAACUACAUCUGAAGGAUAUUUCCCAGAGCAAAAGGACUUUGCUAGGUGUGCAGGAAACCACGGCUUUUGUUGUUGUGGCACUGAACUGCCUCUAACCCACUGAACAUGCCUCAAACUCAUAUCACCAAGUGCAAACAGUAACUCCCAAAUCCUCAAAAAUAGUGUUUGCUCAACAGAAAAAUUCAAUGCUCAUUCUCCUCAGUGGGCCUUUUGCUGAAGCCAGAAAAAUAUCAAGAAAAGGCAACAUGUAACAGAAACAAGUGGUAUUUCAUGUCUUCAAAAUGGUCAAACAGGAUUGGAAAGCAGAAGGGUUCCUUCCGUCUGCCCCAAGCUAACAUUCACCCUGAAGAUUACCAAGGGCAAAUUACAAGUUUCCUUUAAAAUACGUGUUGUUCCUGCAGAGGUCAUGUUGCUCAGAGAGAUUUACAAGGCUUUAGAGCUACUGUGUUAAUAAGGCAUCUUUCAAUGGGAAAAGUACCCCAUGCCAUGUGCAGAAGUCACCACAAGUAUUUCUCAGCUCAGUUAUUUCUAUUAAUGCGGUAAAAUAAAACACCAAUACCAUGCAAGUGCAUGGAACCAAAGGCUGAAGAGAAGUAGGUAGGACAGAAGUAAAUUACUUGUAUUUACUAGUCACAGUAAUAAACUCAGUCAAAAAAAUGAUGUUUCCCUACACAAUAAUCACCAUUCUUUAGUGAAACCAAGAGCUAAACUGUCUCUCCCAAUCAUUUUCAAUCACUAAUUACAUUUCAGAAACAAACUUCUCUGAACACAAGAUUAUUUUUCAGAGCUUAAAUGUUCCUUUGGUAUAAAUUUCAUGUUAUUUUGGGAGAAGAUAAAAGAAUUACAUAAUUUGUUCAA
This is a long non-coding RNA of Parus major (Great Tit), 2541 nucleotides long. RefSeq lists it as uncharacterized. NCBI's taxonomy places the organism in Eukaryota, Metazoa, Chordata, Aves, Passeriformes, Paridae. The record is from RefSeq and is a predicted model, not a curated record. The transcript is spliced from 3 exons.